AGCAGCCGCGGUAAAUUCCAGCUCCAAUAGCGUAUAUUAAAGUUGUUGCAGUUAAAAAGCUCGUAGUUGAAUUUCGGGAUUAGUAAGUUGGUCGUGCCUCUGGUAUGUACUGGCUUUACUGGUUCCUCCUUCUUGAAGAACUGUAAUGUCAUUAAUUUGGUGUUGCAGGGAAACAGGACUGUUACUUUGAAAAAAUUAGAGUGUUUAAAGCAGGCUAACGCUUGAAUACAUUAGCAUGGAAUAAUGAAAUAGGACGUUUGAUCCUAUUUUGUUGGUUUCUAGGAUUGACGUAAUGAUUAAUAGGGAUAGUUGGGGGCAUUAGUAUUCAAUUGUCAGAGGUGAAAUUCUUGGAUUUAUUGAAGACUAACUACUGCGAAAGCAUUUGCCAAGGAUGUUUU
Molecule: ribosomal RNA, 398 nt
Filed under: uncultured Glomeromycotina
Lineage: Eukaryota; Fungi; Glomeromycota
Description: SSU rRNA
Rfam family: Eukaryotic small subunit ribosomal RNA
Source: RNAcentral